CCAAUAUUAUAACAUCAGCUGGUGUAGAGGAUGAAUGGAAGAAGUUAUCUGACUUUCAUGCUAGACUAAUAUUUAUGCCAACCCAGUAGAUUUUGCAUAUUUGUGAACUUUCUUCAAACUUGGAUGCUUAUCGUUAGCAAUGUUGUAAAAAUAAUGCAUCGAAUUUGGAUGCAUUAUAUUUGCCCUUGCUACUGAAUCUUAGGCCAUUGAAUGCUUGUUUUUUGUUCUAAAAUAUCUAUGGACUCUAUUCUUAUCUUAAAUAUCUGGCUUCUGAAGAAUAAAAUAAAAAAAUAUGCUCAAGUAUAAACUGUUGUCAUGCUUGGUUUUGUGUGCCAUCUGACUCUUUAUUCGAGCACUCUUCUAUAAUGCAGACAAGUUCUAGUCUAACGAAAUACUAAAAGUAUAAUUCUUUAAUUUAAGGAGAGUUUAUACAAAAGUGCAUUUCACAUUUCAGUAUUUUAGCAGUUUAAAGGUUUAUGGCAUCAUGUUGUAUGCUAUAGAAUGGAUAAGAAAAAAAAUCACCAGAUAAGCUUAAAAAUGUGCUUUGCCAAGCGCAGCUGGAUACGACUGCAGAGGUCCAACCCUGAACAGUUGGGGCAAAAAUGGACACAAUAUUCAAGCUUGAAUUGGAUUGUAAUUAAAUAUUUGACACAUUAUAGGUUUCUGACACAGAAUAAUGUAGUCAAAGAACUUGAAAUUGGUUAUAUGAUUUGGAUUAUAUUCAAUUGAAGAUUUCUUGCUUUUGUGCAAUACACUGUGCUGUUGCACAAUACUUAGUAAAUCUGUUUUCAGACUAUAUACAGAGAAUUAGCAAAAUAAAUUGUGACCCCCCAAUU
Mytilus californianus (California mussel) is the source of this 836-nucleotide long non-coding RNA. RefSeq lists it as uncharacterized. NCBI's taxonomy places the organism in Eukaryota, Metazoa, Mollusca, Bivalvia, Mytilida, Mytilidae. The record is from RefSeq and is a predicted model, not a curated record. The transcript has 2 exons.